RNAcentral lists this ribosomal RNA (466 nucleotides) under uncultured bacterium. RNAcentral describes it as "partial 16S ribosomal RNA". It matches the Rfam family "Bacterial small subunit ribosomal RNA", at positions 28 to 507 of the family's 1533-position model. The record is from RNAcentral.
GACGAACGCUGGCGGCGUGCUUAACACAUGCAAGUCGAACGGAAAGGCCCUGCUUGCAGGGUACUCGAGUGGCGAACGGGUGAGUAACACGUGGGUGAUCUGCCCUGCACUUUGUGGUAAGCUUGGGAAACUGGGUCUAAUACCGGAUAGCAGCCAUCUUCAGUGUGGUGGUUGGAAAGUUUUUUCGGUGUAGGACGAGCUCGCGGCCUAUCAGCUUGUUGGUGGGGUAAUGGCCUACCAAGGCGGCGACGGGUAGCCGGCCUGAGAGGGUGUACGGCCACAUUGGGACUGAGAUACGGCCCAGACUCCUACGGGAGGCAGCAGUGGGGAAUAUUGCACAAUGGGCGCAAGCCUGAUGCAGCGACGCCGCGUGGGGGAUGAAGGCCUUCGGGUUGUAAACUCCUUUCGCUAGGGACGAAGCUUUGUUGUGACGGUACCUAGAUAAGAAGCACCGGCUAACUACGUG